RNAcentral lists this ribosomal RNA (497 nucleotides) under uncultured bacterium. RNAcentral describes it as "partial 16S ribosomal RNA". It matches the Rfam family "Bacterial small subunit ribosomal RNA", at positions 28 to 507 of the family's 1533-position model. The record is from RNAcentral.
GAUGAACGCUGGCGGCGUGCCUAAUACAUGCAAGUCGAGCGAACAGACGAGGAGCUUGCUCCUCUGACGUUAGCGGCGGACGGGUGAGUAACACGUGGAUAACCUACCUAUAAGACUGGGAUAACUUCGGGAAACCGGAGCUAAUACCGGAUAAUAUAUUGAACCGCAUGGUUCAAUAGUGAAAGACGGUUUUGCUGUCACUUAUAGAUGGAUCCGCGCCGCAUUAGCUAGUUGGUAAGGUAACGGCUUACCAAGGCGACGAUGCGUAGCCGACCUGAGAGGGGGAGCGGCCAAAUUGGAACUGAGACACGGUCCAGAAUCCAACGGGAGGCAGCAGUAGGUAAAUUUCCGCGAAGGGCGAAAGCCUGAAGGAGCAACGCCGAGGGAGUGAUGAAGGCCUUCGGAUCGUAAAACUCUGUUAUUAGGGAAGAACAAAUGUGUAAGUAACUAUGCACGUCUUGACGGUACCUAAUCAGAAAGCCACGGCUAACUACGUG